GUGCCAGCCGCCGCGGUAAUACGGAGGGUGCUAGCGUUGUUCGGAAUUACUGGGCGUAAAGGGCGCGUAGGCGGCCGUUUGCGUCGGAUGUGAAAGCCCGGGGCUCAACCUCGGAACGGCAUUCGAUACGGGACGGCUGGAGACCGGGAGAGGAGAGUGGAAUAGCCAGUGUAGAGGUGAAAUUCGUAGAUAUUGGCUGGAACACCGGUGGCGAAAGCGGCUCUCUGGCCCGGUUCUGACGCUGAGGCGCGAAAGCGUGGGGAGCAAACAGGAUUAGAAACCCUGGUAGUCC
Molecule: ribosomal RNA, 292 nt
Filed under: uncultured bacterium
Lineage: Bacteria
Description: partial 16S ribosomal RNA
Rfam family: Bacterial small subunit ribosomal RNA
Source: RNAcentral